CAGCAGCCGCGGUAAUACGGAAGGUCCGGGCGUUAUCCGGAUUUAUUGGGUUUAAAGGGAACGUAGGUGGACUGGUAAGUCAGUUGUGAAAGUUUGCGGCUCAACCGUAAAAUUGCAGUUGAUACUGUCAGUCUUGAGUACAGUAGAGGUGGGCGGAAUUCGUGGUGUAGCGGUGAAAUGCUUAGAUAUCACGAAGAACUCCGAUUGCGAAGGCAGCUCACUGGA
RNAcentral lists this ribosomal RNA (225 nucleotides) under uncultured bacterium. RNAcentral describes it as "partial 16S ribosomal RNA". It matches the Rfam family "Bacterial small subunit ribosomal RNA", at positions 509 to 733 of the family's 1533-position model. The record is from RNAcentral.